RNAcentral lists this ribosomal RNA (871 nucleotides) under Staphylococcus aureus. RNAcentral describes it as "partial 23S ribosomal RNA". It matches the Rfam family "Bacterial large subunit ribosomal RNA", at positions 1 to 869 of the family's 2925-position model. The record is from RNAcentral. Lineage: Bacteria; Bacillati; Bacillota; Bacilli; Caryophanales; Staphylococcaceae.
GAUUAAGUUAUUAAGGGCGCACGGUGGAUGCCUUGGCACUAGAAGCCGAUGAAGGACGUUACUAACGACGAUAUGCUUUGGGGAGCUGUAAGUAAGCUUUGAUCCAGAGAUUUCCGAAUGGGGAAACCCAGCAUGAGUUAUGUCAUGUUAUCGAUAUGUGAAUACAUAGCAUAUCAGAAGGCACACCCGGAGAACUGAAACAUCUUAGUACCCGGAGGAAGAGAAAGAAAAUUCGAUUCCCUUAGUAGCGGCGAGCGAAACGGGAAGAGCCCAAACCAACAAGCUUGCUUGUUGGGGUUGUAGGACACUCUAUACGGAGUUACAAAGGACGACAUUAGACGAAUCAUCUGGAAAGAUGAAUCAAAGAAGGUAAUAAUCCUGUAGUCGAAAAUGUUGUCUCUCUUGAGUGGAUCCUGAGUACGACGGAGCACGUGAAAUUCCGUCGGAAUCUGGGAGGACCAUCUCCUAAGGCUAAAUACUCUCUAGUGACCGAUAGUGAACCAGUACCGUGAGGGAAAGGUGAAAAGCACCCCGGAAGGGGAGUGAAAUAGAACCUGAAACCGUGUGCUUACAAGUAGUCAGAGCCCGUUAAUGGGUGAUGGCGUGCCUUUUGUAGAAUGAACCGGCGAGUUACGAUUUGAUGCAAGGUUAAGCAGUAAAUGUGGAGCCGUAGCGAAAGCGAGUCUGAAUAGGGCGUUUAGUAUUUGGUCGUAGACCCGAAACCAGGUGAUCUACCCUUGGUCAGGUUGAAGUUCAGGUAACACUGAAUGGAGGACCGAACCGACUUACGUUGAAAAGUGAGCGGAUGAACUGAGGGUAGCGGAGAAAUUCCAAUCGAACCUGGAGAUAGCUGGUUCUCUCCGAAAUAGCU